RNAcentral lists this long non-coding RNA (2952 nucleotides) under Brassica napus (rape). Its description in RNAcentral is "long non-coding RNA (BNAP_LNC018322)". Lineage: Eukaryota; Viridiplantae; Streptophyta; Magnoliopsida; Brassicales; Brassicaceae. The record is from RNAcentral.
AGGGAAGAACUUGGGGAAGAAGGUGGAAGGCACGUGAGCUCUGACCUCCAAAGAAUGCUCCUUUGGAGCGUAGUGAGCCACGAAAGGGAGGGAAGAGAGCGAAGGGAUGGGGGGAGAGAUGAGGUAUGCCUCCGUGGGGUGCAAGUUACCGCUGCUGGGGUUGACGCGGAGGGGCCAGGUGGAGGCUCCCGAUGAGUGCGUGCGCGAGAGAGGAGGAACGAUGGAAGAGUUACCAAAGGUUAUAAAAGGGGCGUCUGACUGGGUGAAGACGACGUCGCUUUGAAUGAAGAAAACACACCCCAACGGCUAGUUGCCUUUUCCUUUUUCUUUUACAAUUAUUUUUGUUUCUUUCCCCAGAAAAUAGUUAAUUUUUGUUGACAAAUGGCAUAAACUUCUUUAAAUACAUUGUACUGUAUUGUCUUUGUAAAAAAAAAAUAGAAAAACAUAUCUUUGCAGAUCUUAGAUAUGGUUAACUGAAUUAAUUAUGUAAGUGAUCAAGAUGUAUUAAUAGAUUUGUCCAUAUAUUGAUAAAAUAUAUUAUUUCUGAAAGAUUUACUACUAUUUCUGUGUUCGUUUUCUAAAAUUACAACUUUUUAAAAAAAAUAUCACAACUAGUUCCAAAAAAAUAUAUAUAUAUAUCACAAUUUUUUUUUUUUUUUUUUUGGUUCAAAUAUAAAUAAUAUUCAUUAAUUAUAGGAUUAGUUAUCACAAAUUUUAAGUUUAAUAAAGAGUUAUAAAUGUGUGUUUUUUUGUGUGUUUGUAGUUAACAGGGUUUACAGCCCGGGAACAUCUUUUAACUCAACUGCAAGAAGAAACUUCAACCAGACAAUGAAUUUAUUAACACGUUUACAAGAUCUCACAUCACACUAAGCACAGAAUCUCGUGCUGAAAAAACUUCUCUUAUCAAGUGUGGUGCCCCAACUUUUACAAACCCCAGCGUUACAACUUUGUAGAGAAAAUCAUAUUCUUAUUUCACCACUAAUAUUAUUUACCGAACUAAAGCUGAAUGAUAGAUGACCCUGCUAUGGUUGAUCAUCAAUACACUGGGUGUCCUCUUCAAGAACCAGUUUGGAACAGAACUUCAUGUAAGUUGUAUCUUUUAUUACACUAUAAAUCACCAAGACAAGAUUUGUUUACAGACUCAACAAAGACUAGAGUAUAAUCUUAGACAUCACUGGUGGGACCAGGAUAAGCAGGAAGAGUCAUGAUCCGCUUGUCUAAAACCGGACCUCCCACAGUAAAAUGGUACAGACUCUGAAAGCUUGAGUCUUUGAUCCCAAGAACCUCAUGAACCGGAUCAUCAAAAUAACAUCCUAUUCCAGUUGCUGAGAUCCCCAUUGCAUGUGCUUCCAGGUACAAAACUUGCCCAACAACACCCGUCUCCCAAAACAACCGAGGGUACAUCCAUGACCCCUUCUCCCUCAUCACUGGCUCAAACCGAGCCACCAUCCCUAGGCUGAAGCACCCAUCCCCUGCAAUGUCCUGCAUCAACAACCACCACAACCAUGAUUCAACAAAGAUCCAAGUUAUAUGCAUCCAAUGUUCAAGAAAUCGCUAAGCUAUUGUUAGGCGCUUUUUAAGAAAUUAUUGCUUAGGCGGGCGUCUAGACCGAUUUUUUGAAUUUUUGAACGCGCCUAGACCCGAUUCAAGAAAAAAAAAAUCCUUAAGAAACUAGGUCCGAUUUGGCCUAGACCGAUUCUUAGAACACUUUAUGCAUCCACGACUCGAGAUAUCCAAAGCCUAUUACCUGAUGGCAUGAUAGUCCUUUUGCCAGCCUUUGGCAAUCACCCUGGGCGAGCAUAUACAGAGGAAGCCCAUCAGGGCAACCAUCUGGUCUCCUCCACUCAAACUCAGACCUCGUAGCCCUCUUGAGAUCACCGAGAUGAUCCUCGUUUCUCACUAGAAAAUACAAACCCUUGGGCAAACCCGAAACUCUAUGCACAAACAGAGCAAGAUGAACCUCAGCACAGUCCCAAGAAAGAGCACGAAAGGGCAGUGCAAGCUGCUCUCCUUGCGGCUCUCCCUUGGUGGAAGAACCAGAAGGAAGACAAUGCAUCAACAUCUGGUAAAACGCGGACUUGUCAAUAAAAGUAACACCGUCCAUAUCAACCGCACUUCUUCUCAUCCUCACAACUUGACUCACUGUCAAGUCCUUAUACGAACUCCUGCUAACCACACCACUCGCCUUAAAGGAAGAAGCAUCUAUUGAAGUUGAAGAUGAGUUUGAGAUCAAUGAAGGCUUCUUGACUGCUUCUGCUGUCUUGUAGAUGAUGUCCCAACACAAAUGCUCUUUACUCAGGACAUUAGGAGUCCCUUUCCACUCCAAACUAGUGAACCCUUCUCUAAUAGCAGAGCUUAUACCUUUGUAAUCUAUGUUAAUAAAAUCACUACCUCCCUUGGGGAAAACGAGCAGCAAGCAAUCAGGAUGCUCAGAUUCAAUUUCUGGGAACUCAGGGAGGCCCAUUAGCACGUUGAGAUCAUCACUUCCUAAUCCAUCAAGAAGCUUCAACUCCCACCCCAGCUCUCCAGCUGCAACGGCCAGAGCAGCGAUCGCGUGACCCACGUCGUGGUUACAGUACCUAAACGCGCGUUCUCCGUACUUCCAAGCCUCACGCCAGAAGAUUGAAGAGACACCGAUGAGGAAAGAGUUCUCAGGGAAGAACUUGGGGAAGAAGGUGGAAGGCACGUGAGCUCUGACCUCCAAAGAAUGCUCCUUUGGAGCGUAGUGAGCCACGAAAGGGAGGGAAGAGAGCGAAGGGAUGGGGGGAGAGAUGAGGUAUGCCUCCGUGGGGUGCAAGUUACCGCUGCUGGGGUUGACGCGGAGGGGCCAGGUGGAGGCUCCGGUGGUUUUCCAGGCGGAGAGGGCGAGGGAGUGGAGGAAGAGGUGGGAGACUGUGGAGAGAGAGAUGGGUUUUGGAGGAGGAAGCGAGGAGGAGUCGAAGAGAGAAGAGU